This is a long non-coding RNA of Mesocricetus auratus (golden hamster), 543 nucleotides long. RefSeq lists it as uncharacterized. The transcript is spliced from 2 exons. The record is from RefSeq and is a predicted model, not a curated record. NCBI's taxonomy places the organism in Eukaryota, Metazoa, Chordata, Mammalia, Rodentia, Cricetidae.
GGCAUGGAAGUGCUGGGUCAGAGCAGUGACAAGACAGAGAGGCCCCCGCCUUCAGGGAGCUCAUGGCUUAUGUAGAGGAGGAGAGAAAGAGGCUGAAGAGAACGCAUUCAAUGGCGGGACCCAGAGGAGUUGAGAGAUCCAGAUGUAGAGCUCUCAGCUGCCUCUCUAGCCACGUCUGCCUGCAGGACACCAUACCCCCCCACCAUGAUGACAAUGGAGGACACCAUACUCCCCGCCAUGAUGACAAUGGAGGACACCAUACUCCCCGCCAUGAUGACAAUGGACUACACCUCUGAACAGCAAGCCAGUCCCAUUAAAUGUUGUCUUUUAUAAGAGUUGGCAUGGCAUUGGGAUUUCUUCACAGCAGUAAAACUUUAACCAAGACACAUAUACUUGUAGGUUUAUGUAUAUAAAUGUGAGCAUACCAUUUAUGUCUUUUUAGGUAGGACAUCAUCCCAACAGCCCUAUGUAAUGGUCAUCAUUAUGUCUUUCUGUUGGACGAACUUAGAAUGAUUAAAGUCUGUGUUCUAGGACUUGCAUUUA